Molecule: ribosomal RNA, 429 nt
Filed under: Bacillota bacterium
Lineage: Bacteria; Bacillati; Bacillota
Description: Firmicutes bacterium partial 16S ribosomal RNA
Rfam family: Bacterial small subunit ribosomal RNA
Source: RNAcentral
UGGGGAAUUUUGGACAAUGGGCGAAAGCCUGAUCCAGCAAUGCCGCGUGUGUGAAGAAGGCCUUCGGGUUGUAAAGCACUUUUGUCCGGAAAGAAAUGGCUCUGGUUAAUACCUGGGGUCGAUGACGGUACCGGAAGAAUAAGGACCGGCUAACUACGUGCCAGCAGCCGCGGUAAUACGUAGGGUCCAAGCGUUAAUCGGAAUUACUGGGCGUAAAGCGUGCGCAGGCGGUUGUGCAAGACCGUUGUGAAAUCCCCGAGCUUAACUAGGGAAUUGCAUUGGUGACGGCACUGCUAGAGUGUGUCAGAGGGGGGUAGAAUUCCACGUGUAGCAGUGAAAUGCGUAGAGAUGUGGAGGAAUACCGAUGGCGAAGGCAGCCCCCUGGGAUAACACUGACGAUCAUGCACGAAAGCGUGGGGAGCAAACAGG